UACGUAGGGUGCGAGCGUUAAUCGGAAUUACUGGGCGUAAAGCGUGCGCAGGCGGUUUUGUAAGUCAGAUGUGAAAUCCCCGGGCUUAACCUGGGAACUGCAUUUGUGACUGCAUGGCUAGAGUUUGUCAGAGGGGGGUGGAAUUCCACGUGUAGCAGUGAAAUGCGUAGAUAUGUGGAGGAACACCGAUGGCGAAGGCAGCCCCCUGGGAUGUGACUGACGCUCAUGUACGAAAGCGUGGGGAGCAAACAGG
Molecule: ribosomal RNA, 253 nt
Filed under: uncultured bacterium
Lineage: Bacteria
Description: partial 16S ribosomal RNA
Rfam family: Bacterial small subunit ribosomal RNA
Source: RNAcentral